UACGAAGGGGGCUAGCGUUGUCCGGAAUUACUGGGCGUAAAGGGCUCGUAGGUGGCCAACUAAGUCAGACGUGAAAUCCCUCAGCUUAACUGGGGAACUGCGUCUGAUACUGGAUGGCUUGAGUUUGGGAGAGGGAUGCGGAAUUCCAGGUGUAGCGGUGAAAUGCGUAGAUAUCUGGAGGAACACCGGUGGCGAAGGCGGCAUCCUGGACCAACACUGACACUGAGGAGCGAAAGCGUGGGGAGCGAACAGG
This 253-nucleotide ribosomal RNA is filed under the name uncultured bacterium. Its description in RNAcentral is "partial 16S ribosomal RNA". It matches the Rfam family "Bacterial small subunit ribosomal RNA", at positions 524 to 776 of the family's 1533-position model. The record is from RNAcentral.